RNAcentral lists this ribosomal RNA (90 nucleotides) under Nicotiana sylvestris (wood tobacco). The record is from RNAcentral. Lineage: Eukaryota; Viridiplantae; Streptophyta; Magnoliopsida; Solanales; Solanaceae.
AGGUGCGAUCAUACCAGCACUAACGUACCGGAUCCCAUUAGAACUCCGAGAUUAAGCGUGCCUAUAAAUUGAGGGCCAUUGUCGCAUACG